RNAcentral lists this long non-coding RNA (386 nucleotides) under Chinchilla lanigera (long-tailed chinchilla). RNAcentral describes it as "lncRNA (ENSCLAG00000027573.1)". Lineage: Eukaryota; Metazoa; Chordata; Mammalia; Rodentia; Chinchillidae. The record is from RNAcentral.
CUGUGUGCCCGGUAUGUGUAAUGCACUGCCUUGUGAGCUAGGAGAGUCUUUUGUAGCUGUGGAAAGCACGGCACAGAAUGGUUACAGAAUGCACCCGAAGUCACACGAGGACUCUUAAGUAAUGGAGAAUGGUUUGAAUCCAGGCUGUCUGAGGUGAAGAGCUGUGCUGGUCUCAUGGAGGAGAAGUGUACAGGAGGACAGCGGGGGCCUGGGGAGAGGUAUACUGUGCUCACUUACAUGGACUUGUCUGACCCUAAUGCUCGGCCUGAUAUUGCCCUCAGCGCUAUUGUGGCUCUUGUCCUGUCUUCAUUGCUCUUGGCAUCAGCUGAAAUGUAAGUUUGCUCAUUUCUUACCUGUUUCUUGUCUGUUUUCUGUUUCCAGAACAG